CUGGAUGACGCCAUCCAGCACCAGCACGUUACCGUAGGUCUUACUGCGGGUGGAGUGACAGUCGGGGGCCUGAGUCUUCUGGGGUGAGGGAAUGUGCCCCAACCCCGCCACAGGGUCUCAGGGGCCGGCUGAGCUCAUGGACAUGGAAAGCAUGGCUAUGGAAGACGCCCCUACAACUGUGCAUCUGCACAGUAAAAAAAGCCCACAGGAAAUACACAACACCCGGUGAUUAAAUUUCUUGUUUGCAUUUUUCUGUGCCAUCCACAUUUGCUACAGUAAACUUGCUUUCCUCUUGUUUUUGCAGUGCUGGGGAUUGAAUCCAGAGCCCUGCACAUACGAGGCGAGUGCUCUAUCACUGAGCUACUCCCCCCCAGCCCAAUGUAAUUUCUUUUAUAAUCAGGAAAAGACAAAAAGGUUUUUUUGUUGUUGUUGUUUAUUUAUUUUUUCUUUCUUAAAGGAAGAGAAAGGAACAGAGAUCAAGUUCUCCAGAAGCCACACUGGCUCCAGAGCACUCCAGCCCUCUUUGCAACGGCGUACCACAGCUUCACCCACAUUAUCCCAAAGCCCAGACAGGGGUCAGAGGCCCACAGAACCCUCCUAAGGCGAGCAACACCUCACUCUUUUGAGUCACAGGCUGUUCUCCUGUGUUACUCCCUUGGGGGUUCUGGCUUUCUCUAGAAAUCACAGUGACCUUUCAGGGCACUCUCCUCUCUCAUGGACAGCUGAGGGUGGUGGUGUGAACGGGACGGGGCCUGUCCUUCCUGCCAGGGCUACGAUGGCAGCAAAAGAAGAGUCAGGAACCAGCUUUCUUCCAGAAGGAAUUAGUUUUAAUGGUUUAAAAAUGCGUUUAUAUAAAAGCAGCACCACCAUUUGGUGCUUCCAGUCCCUGGGGUCCCAAGGGUCUCUUCCAGCACUAUCUCUUUGGCCAGUUGUACCUAAAGCCUCUGCAGAGACAGUAGGAAAACAGAGUUACUUCUUCCAGAGCGGCUGACAGUUGGGUCUCAGUUGCUUUAUACAACACACAACCCUCUAGAAGGCAGAACUGAAGAAUGGCUUGCUUGGGCCCUGGGGACUGAGCUGGAUGGCAGUGGGGUGGCGGGGGCAGAAUGCGGGGCCCACAGCAAUGGCCAAGGCCCUGAGCAGAAUUUUUCCUGUGCCAGGGCCCAACCUCAGGUACUGCUCUAGCAUGAUCUGGAUUUCACGCUCUUAACUACAACAUUCUUCAGCAAUGACAACCCACAUUUGCCGAUUUUUUCUUUCUUUCCUAAGAAACAGGCUGACCUAAGAAAAUUUCAUACAUAUUUGCUCUGAGGUGACCUCAGGAAACUAAACAGGAAAGAGCAAAGAAUAAGGGGUCUGAAUGCUGGGAUGCAGUAAGUGGCCAUAUGACAUGUGGCACACAGCAAAUCACGUCCCCUCCUGUUUUUCAAGUGACAAAGAGAGGCCUGGCUGUGGAGAAAGCCUCUGCUCUUCUAGACAAAGCCCUCUGAGCUGUGCUCUGCUGCAGGUACCCAAGUGCAACAGGGAGGGUGCUUUCCUGCUGGGCUCCAGGGCCUGCGCCUGGCUACUUCCACAUACCUGUCUGAUUUUCCAGUUGGAAAGGACAUGCUUUUGUUUCCCACUGACUGUUUCAGUUUUUUGGCUGCAAAGCACUUCUGAAAAGAUAAGAGAUGUUGAAGGUGGGGGACAACCUUGACCAGCAGAGGAGAACACCCAACUCAGAUGGCUAGGGAGAGGGGGUACCCAGCACACGGGUGAGCCCUGGUUUCCAGCAGUGGGCACCCCUGUGCACUUCAGAAGACAGAGCUAGGGCAGGAACAGGAGGCUCUGCACAGCCCUGCUCCCACAUGCCAGCCCCGCUGGGCCUGGACCCCACAGGGGGUACACAUUGGCCAUACUGGCACCCGAAGGGGUGCUUCUGACCUGAAGCUAGAGUUCCCAUGGCUACCUGGCGCGGUGGUGCAUGCCUGUAAUCCCAGUGGCUUGGAAUGCUGAGGCUAGAGGAUCUUCAGUUCAAAGCCAACCUUAGCCACUUAACGAAGUCCUAAGCAACUUAGCAAGACUGUCUCAAAAUAAAAUAUAACAAGGGCUGGUGCCCCUGGGUUAAAAAAAAAAAAAUUCCCAUGGCUGCAAAGAAAAACUGCAUGCCAGGCUGGGUGGGGGCCAUGCCUGUAACCCCAGCGGAAUGGGAGUCUGAAGUAGGGAGGAGGAGGAUCACAAAUUCAAAAUCAGUCUCAGCAAGAAACACUAAGCAACUCAGUGAGACUUGUUUCUAAAUAAAAUACAAAAUAGGGUUGGGAGGUGGCUCAGUGGCUGAGUGCCCUCAUUCAAUCCCCGGUAAACCCCCACCCCACAAAAAAAAAAAAAAAAAAAAGACAACAAACAACUGCGCGCCAUCUUUUAUAGCCACUUUUAAAAAAUGGCGGAAGCAGCUGCUAGGUGCCGUCUCCCCUCAGAAGGAAGGAGCAGGAGAAGCCACAGAGGAAGAGGACUGCUGGAUGGAGCACCCUCCCAGCAGAGGGGCUGAACCAAGACUGCGGGGAGCGCAGCGCUCCUGGUGCGGCCUUACCUUGCCAGACACGGCUUGCUUACUGGGGUCAAACUGGGAGGAAGGUUUGGGUUUGCUGUCUCCUGCAAGGUAAGAGAUGAGGCCAGCGCUGAGGCAAGGAGCUUAAGACAGGGCCCGCCCGGGGUUCAGACUGCUGGCGGCCAGCCUGCCACCUGCUUUGCAAUGACAUAAGUUAAUGUUUCCAAUCGCUGCUGCUGAGACCAGGCUUAGUUCUCACAGACCUGUUUCCAGGCUGUUAGGGGCAGGUGGCUCCUCUGACAUCAAGAUCCAGCGCCAUAGGCAGGGACAGGGGCUCCUGAUGAAGUCCCCGUGUGGACUGUCCUGCUCUCUUGCUCCUCCAAGGGCUGUGUUGCCCUGGAGGCAGCUAGAGGGAGCCAGGAGUUUGGGCUUCAGGUGCUUUCAAUCAACAAUACCUGUGAGUGUGUGUAUGUGUGUGUGUUCUGGGCACAAGUGACUGUGAGAAAGGACGAAGCCAUUAGUCACACGGAGGGCUGAGAGCUAGUUCUGGGGAAGGGGGCUUCUGGCGGUCACUGGCCACGGCCACGUCCUGGGCAGGGCUUGCUGUGCCUAAACUGUGCCUUCUUCACUGGACAGCUUCCUCCCACCUCGAAUGGCCAGAUGUCCCAGAGUGGGGCCCCAGUCCUGUCCUCACCAGCAAAAGCCUUGAAGUCCGACUGGCUGUAGUCAAAAGGGGUAAAAUCUUUUUCUGAGUCCUUUGGCUUCUUGGAAGUCCUGAGUCGUUUCUUCUCCUGUUUCUGCUCCAGGGUCCUCGGGUCGCUUGUUGUUCGCUCUCUCUUCUUAGCAGCAUGCUCUAGCUGCAGGGCGAGCACACCCAGGGAGGGAAGCAGGAAGUGCCUGAGAGGGGAAGACCUGCCGCUUCGGUGACAGUAGACGGAGUGAGCCUACUGCAGAGGGCUCCAGGCAUGCCCCCCCAGCCCUCUUCUGUGCUUCCUAUGCCCCUAUGCACACAGCUCAACGGGACUGGACACAGUAUGCUAAACGAUUUUUGGCACAAGCUA
Molecule: long non-coding RNA, 3588 nt
Organism: Marmota monax (woodchuck)
Lineage: Eukaryota; Metazoa; Chordata; Mammalia; Rodentia; Sciuridae
Exons: 3
Source: RefSeq, a predicted model, not a curated record